AGAACGAACGCUGGCGGCAUGCCUAAUACAUGCAAGUCGAACGAACUCUUCGGAGUUAGUGGCGCACGGGUGCGUAACGCGUGGGAAUCUGCCCUUGGGUUCGGAAUAACAGUUGGAAACGACUGCUAAUACCGGAUGAUGACGAAAGUCCAAAGAUUUAUCGCCCAGGGAUGAGCCCGCGUAGGAUUAGCUAGUUGGUGAGGUAAAGGCUCACCAAGGCGACGAUCCUUAGCUGGUCUGAGAGGAUGAUCAGCCACACUGGGACUGAGACACGGCCCAGACUCCUACGGGAGGCAGCAGUAGGGAAUAUUGGACAAUGGGCGAAAGCCUGAUCCAGCAAUGCCGCGUGAGUGAUGAAGGCCUUAGGUUGUAAAGCUCUUUUACCCGAGAUGAUAAUGACAGUAUCGGAGAAUAAGCCCCGGACUAACUCCGUGCCAGCACGCCGC
RNAcentral lists this ribosomal RNA (446 nucleotides) under uncultured soil bacterium. Its description in RNAcentral is "bacterial SSU rRNA". It matches the Rfam family "Bacterial small subunit ribosomal RNA", at positions 26 to 518 of the family's 1533-position model. The record is from RNAcentral.